RNAcentral lists this ribosomal RNA (330 nucleotides) under uncultured eukaryote. Its description in RNAcentral is "partial 18S ribosomal RNA". It matches the Rfam family "Eukaryotic small subunit ribosomal RNA", at positions 1470 to 1796 of the family's 1831-position model. The record is from RNAcentral.
CCCUUAGAUGUCCGGGGCCGCACGCGCGCUACACUGAAGGAAUCAGCGUGGCUUUCUCCCUGACCCGAAAGGGUUGGGAAACCCGUUGAAUCUCCUUCGUGAUAGGGAUUGGGGCUUGAAAUUGUUCCCCAUGAACGAGGAAUUCCCAGUAAGCGCGAGUCAUAAGCUCGCGUUGAUUACGUCCCUGCCCUUUGUACACACCGCCCGUCGCUACUACCGAUUGAAUGAUCCGAUGAAUAUCAUGGAUUGAGGAUGCAAGCAGGUUCGCCUGUCUUCAUCUUCGAGAAGUGAAGUAAAUCUUAUCAUUGAGAGGAAGGAGAAGUCGUAACA